CCGCCACCGCCGCCGCCGUUGCGGGCCUCCGGGCCGCAACCGCCGACCAGAUGGAUUACCUCAAGACGGUGGUGCCGUCGCAGCUAAUGGCCGAGCGCGGCGCCAACCUCGUCGUCAUCAACCCAGGAUCUACAAACGUGCGCAUGGGGUUUGCGAGUCAGGACGUGCCGUUCAAUGUGCCGCACUGCAUUGCC
This is a long non-coding RNA of Lolium rigidum, 194 nucleotides long. RefSeq lists it as uncharacterized. NCBI's taxonomy places the organism in Eukaryota, Viridiplantae, Streptophyta, Magnoliopsida, Poales, Poaceae. The record is from RefSeq and is a predicted model, not a curated record. The transcript is spliced from 3 exons.